This 463-nucleotide ribosomal RNA is filed under the name uncultured bacterium. RNAcentral's name for it is "partial 16S ribosomal RNA". It matches the Rfam family "Bacterial small subunit ribosomal RNA", at positions 28 to 507 of the family's 1533-position model. The record is from RNAcentral.
GAUGAACGCUGACAGAAUGCUUAACACAUGCAAGUCUUUGGCGAAUCUGUGCUUGCACAGGCUAGCCAAGGCGGACGGGUGAGUAACGCGUAAAGAACUUGCCCUGCAGACAGGGAUAACAGACGGAAACGACUGAUAACACCUGAUACAGUUGCCGGCACGCAUGUGCCUGGCAAUGAAAAGAGAUGCUGCAGGAGAGCUUUGCGUCCUAUUAGCUUGUUGGUGAGGUGACGGCUCACCAAGGCGAUGAUAGGUAGCCGGCCUGAGAGGGUGAACGGCCACAAGGGGACUGAGAUGCGGCCCUUACUCCUACGGGAGGCAGCAGUGGGGAAUAUUGGACAAUGGGGGCAACCCUGAUCCAGCAAUUCUGUGUGCACGAAGAAGGUUUUCGGAUUGUAAAGUGCUUUCAGCAGGGAGGAAGAAAGUGACGGUACCUGCAGAAGAAGCGACGGCUAAAUACGUG